AACGAACGCUGGCGGCAUGCCUAACACAUGCAAGUCGAACGAGACCUUCGGGUCUAGUGGCGCACGGGUGCGUAACGCGUGGGAACCUGCCUUUAGGUUCGGAAUAACUCAGAGAAAUUUGAGCUAAUACCGGAUGAUGUCUUCGGACCAAAGAUUUAUCGCCUUUAGAUGGGCCCGCGUUGGAUUAGCUAGUUGGUGGGGUAAAGGCUUACCAAGGCGACGAUCCAUAGCUGGUCUGAGAGGAUGAUCAGCCACACUGGGACUGAGACACGGCCCAGACUCCUACGGGAAGCAGCAGUGGGGAAUAUUGGACAAUGGGCGAAAGCCUGAUCCAGCAAUGCCGCGUGAGUGAUGAAGGCCUUAGGGUUGUAAAGCUCUUUUACCCGAGAUGAUAAUGACAGUAUCGGGAGAAUAAGCUCCGGCUAACUCCGUG
This 433-nucleotide ribosomal RNA is filed under the name uncultured bacterium. RNAcentral describes it as "partial 16S ribosomal RNA". It matches the Rfam family "Bacterial small subunit ribosomal RNA", at positions 29 to 507 of the family's 1533-position model. The record is from RNAcentral.